GCAAUAGUAGCUUAAAACAGAGCAUUGGUCUUGUAAGCCAAAGGUGGAUAUUAAUAUGUCCCUAUUGCUC
RNAcentral lists this transfer RNA (70 nucleotides) under Purpuradusta gracilis. RNAcentral's name for it is "tRNA-Thr". It matches the Rfam family "tRNA". Rfam says of the family: Transfer RNA (tRNA) molecules are approximately 80 nucleotides in length. Their secondary structure includes four short double-helical elements and three loops (D, anti-codon, and T loops). Lineage: Eukaryota; Metazoa; Mollusca; Gastropoda; Littorinimorpha; Cypraeidae. The record is from RNAcentral.